AUGGCGUGGUGGGCAGGGAGCAUGGGCGGCCUGGAUCUCCGCAACCACCUGGCGCAGUUCGGCGGCCCAGCUGCCGGCGGCGCUGCCAUGGGCGGCGCCGAGCAGGCCCCGACGACCCCAAACAGCAGCGGGAGCAACAACCACGACGACUCCUCCGGCGCAGCGCAGGACUCCCCCACCGCCGGCGCGGGCGACAACUCCCCUAACCCCAACGCCGCCAUCUCAGGCUCAGGCCCGUCCGGAGGAGGCGGAGGCAGCGGCGGCGGGGGCUCGUCGUCGGGCCGGCGGCCGCGAGGGAGGCCCGCGGGGUCCAAGAACAAGCCCAAGCCGCCCAUCAUCAUCACGCGGGAGAGCCCCAACACGCUGCGCUCCCACGUGCUGGAGAUCGCCAGCGGCGCCGACAUCAUGGAGGCGGUGUCCACCUUCGCGCGCCGCCGCCAGCGCGGGGUCUCCGUGCUCUCCGGCAGCGGCGUCGUCGGCAACGUCACCCUGCGCCAGCCCGCCGCGCCGCCCGGCUCCGUCGUCACGCUCCACGGCCGCUUCGAGAUCCUCUCCCUCUCCGGCGCCUUCCUCCCGUCGCCCUGCCCGCCGGGGGCCACCGGCCUCGCCGUCUACCUCGCCGGCGGGCAGGGCCAGGUCGUCGGGGGCACCGUCAUCGGGGAGCUCGUCGCGUCUGGGCCCGUCAUGGUCGUCGCCGCUACCUUCUCCAACGCCACUUACGAGCGCCUCCCGCUCGCCGAUGAAGAGCCUGGCGAGGCGGCCGCGGCGGCCACCGGAUCCGACGGCAUGCAGCUGCCGGAAGGGCCGGCUCCGGGAGGAAAUGGCGGGAUGGGUGCGGCCGUCGGCGUGCCCGGACUGCCAGACCCGUCGUCGAUGCCAUUCUACAACUUGCCGCCAAACCUGCAGAUGCCUAAUGGCGGCGGUCAGAUGGCGCACGAUGUGUUUGGCUCCUUCCGGCCGCCACCGCCGGCCUUCUAG
RNAcentral lists this ribosomal RNA (978 nucleotides) under Triticum aestivum (bread wheat). Its description in RNAcentral is "partial small subunit ribosomal RNA". Lineage: Eukaryota; Viridiplantae; Streptophyta; Magnoliopsida; Poales; Poaceae. The record is from RNAcentral.